This 440-nucleotide ribosomal RNA is filed under the name uncultured bacterium. Its description in RNAcentral is "partial 16S ribosomal RNA". It matches the Rfam family "Bacterial small subunit ribosomal RNA", at positions 28 to 506 of the family's 1533-position model. The record is from RNAcentral.
GAUGAACGCUGGCGGCGUGCCUAAUACAUGCAAGUCGAACGGGGAGUAGCAAUACUCUUAGUGGCGAACGGGUGAGUAACGCGUUGGUACCUGCCCCGAAGCGGGGGAUAACGGACCGAAAGGUCCGCUAAUACCCCAUGUGCUCGGUAACGAGUAAAGGUGAAAACCACUUUGGGAGGGGCAUGCGUCCCAUCAGCUAGUUGGUAAGGUAACGGCUUACCAAGGCGAUGACGGGUAGGGGACCUGAGAGGGUGGCCCCCCACAAUGGAACUGAAACACGGUCCAAACACCUAGGGGUGGGAGGGGAAGGGAAGAGUGGAAAGGGGCGCAAGAGGGAACCCGCAGCGCCGGGGGGGCAAUACCGGCCUUCGGGUUGUAAAGCACUUUUGACUGGGACGAGAAAGGACGGUACCGGUAAAAACAGCCCCGGCUAACUGCGU